CAGUCGCCGCGGUAAUACGUAGGUCCCGAGCGUUGUCCGGAUUUAUUGGGCGUAAGGGGAGCGCAGGCGGUUUAGUAAGUCUGAAGUUAAAGGCAUUGGCUCAACCAAUGUAUGCUUUGGAAACUGUUAGACUUGAGUGCAGAAGGGGAGAGGGGAAUUCCAUGUGUAGCGGUGAAAUGCGUAGAUAUAUGGAGGAACACCGGUGGCGAAAGCGGCUCUCUGGUCUGUCACUGACGCUGAGGCUCGAAAGCGUGGGUAGCGAACAGGAUUAGAUACCCCAGUAGUCCCUGUCUCUUAUACA
Molecule: ribosomal RNA, 301 nt
Filed under: uncultured bacterium
Lineage: Bacteria
Description: partial 16S ribosomal RNA
Rfam family: Bacterial small subunit ribosomal RNA
Source: RNAcentral